GGGGAAAAACUGCUAUAAUCCAGAAGUUGUACUUUUGAAAUUCAUAUUUAUUAAAUAAAAGUUUUCUUAAAAAAGAAACAGCUGAGUCAGUUUGCAUUCAAGUUGAAAUAAAUUGUGUAAUAAAUUAAAAAAAAAAGUUUAGGCGUAUGGAGAAGUUAGCUGGACACCAUUUUGAAAUGUGAGGUUUGACCCAAAUUUGCUCCUCUUUGCUCCAUACUCCUUUUUAUCUCCUCAGAAGCUCUGCACGGUCUCAGACCAAAUAAAGACUCCCUAGAACCCAAGGGUGGCUGUCAGAGCCCGGCACACUUCCUUGUUGGGAAGCCAUAAACACAAUUACCAGAUCAUUAAGGAUUUUCAAAGAGGCGCUUUGAAGCAACGUGUGUGGAAUUGCCUGGUUGGGCGUGAGCUGUGUCCUGCACACACCAGCCUCCCUGGUGGCAGCCAUCUAGGAGAAGACAAAGUAUUGUGAACUGACACAGCUUAGUGGCAGGCGUGGGGAAAGCUGACAGGGACAGCCAGGCUCCACUCAUGGCCCUGAUGCUCUUGGCUGUUGUCCCCUUGGAUAAUACACCAGCUCGGGCUUGCCGAGCCUGUUUACUCACGUAUGAAAUAGCGUAGUGGAGGAUUGGUGGUGUCUUAGGUUUUUGUUACUACGACUGAAAUACCUGCGAGAGGCCACUCGGGAAGGAAGAGAUUUAUUUCAGCUAAAUGCUCUGGAGGUUCGCAGUCCGAGACCAAGUAGCCCCAUUAGUCUGGUGUCUGAUGAGGGUGGAGGCUGGCAGUGGGGGGACGUGUAGGGCACACUCCAGUGCUGAGCCAGAGAGCUGGCAGACAGGGAGCUUGGCUUACAUACUCAGUCCUCUCAGAAACCUGCCUUCCAAGGGCAUGUCCCCAGUGACCAAAGGACGUACCGCCAGGGUACGUUUGUGCCAAGGGUCGUUUGGAUAUUUAUAACACCACCCAUGGGCCAUACAAGAUUAUCAGCCUAAAAAUUCGCCUGCUAUAGAUUUGUUGAAUUUCACGUCCUGCCUGCAGCUGCCUUGACUGAGCCAGAGAAGGCCAGACCAAAUGAUUUUGAAGGCCUUAUACGACUUGUGGGCUGGACAUUCCCCUGCCUUGCACUAGGCCUACCUUGCAGAUACUAAAAUUGAAUCAAACCCCCACCCUUAAUUUAUCAACUGCUAACAUGAAUACGUUAACUGUUAACAUAAGACCUUGGAGUUUAAAAGUCUAUAUGAGGGAAGAAAUCAAAUCUUGUCCCAAACCUCUACCCCUUGAACUAGUUUGCUAGGACCCCCAUAACACAGUCCACAGACUGGGUGGUUUAAGCAAUGGGAACUUAUUUUCCCACAGUUCUGAGAUCAAGGUGUCAGCAGGAUUGAUUCCUCCGGAGUGCCCAGAGGGAAGGAUCAGCCAGGCCUCUCUCCCUGGCUGGUGGAUGCCGGCUCCUGCCUGUGUUCUCCCAUCAUAGUCCUUCUGUGGUGUCCAGACUCCUUUUUAUAAAGACUCCAGUCAUACUGGAUUAGGGCCCACUCUAAAAUGACCUCAUCUUCAAACAGUGCCACCUAGGGGUUAGGACUUUCAGCAUAUGAAUUUGGGGAGGACACAGUUCCAACCCAAAACACCCUCCAGAGCCUAGGCAGUUCCUCUCAUAAAAUAAGUGUAUUUCCCCAUCCUUUGCGGCUGUGUGGACCUUUUGACUGGCUCUGACCAAUGGGACAUUAGUAGACGUGAAGCAAGCAGGAUUCUGAAACGUGCCCCUGUGUUUCUUUCAGUCUAGUUCCUCUACAGAUGCGUUUAGCCUGAGAAAAAUCCCCAGGCUCGUCUGACACAGCAUGAGAGGCCUGAACUAUGAAACCAAGUUGUCCCAGUCAUCCCAGCUAAGGCUAUCCAAGAUCAGCAGUGGCCAGCAAGCCCCUAUACAUGUGAGUGAGUCCAACCAAGAUCAGCAGAGGUACCCAGAUAACCUGCAGCUAACCAUAGGCAUAUGAACAAGGCAGUGAAAUCAGGUGAACCCAGCCCAGAGCAGCUGAACUCAACAUCACUGCUGCUUGUUACACAGCCUUACUGGGUGGAACACAGGACUGAGCCAAGAUUAGCAAUACUUGAAUCAAGAGGACCCAUGAAGGAGUGCACAGCCCUUUGGAUCAAAAUGGGCGCAGAGUAGAAGACUGGGAAUUCAUUCAUUCAUUCAACAAAUGUUGAUUGCGGCCCUAUUCUGCCUCAGAUGGGGAAACUUUGACAUAGGGAGGUCCUGUGGAUGGUGACAGAGCGGGGGAUUGAGUUCCGUCCGGCAUUUGGAUGCAGGGUUUGCCUCAUCACUAUCCUUCUCUGGACCACUGUUGGGUUGAUUAAUUGAUUUGAAAGGCAGUGUGACAGAAGGAGAGAGAGAGAGAUCUGUCUGCUGGUUGACUCCCCAAAUGUCUGCAACAGCUCACUUCUGAUCCUUCCUGCUGCCUGAGGAAGAUGACCCAAGUGCUUGGUCUCCUGUGCCUAUGUGAGAGAUCCAGAAGAAGCUCCUGGCUCCUGGCUUCAGCCUGACCCAGCCCUGGCUGUUGUGGCCAUCUGGGGAGUAAACCAGCAGAUUAAAGAUCUCUCUUUAUCUCUCUGUGUUUCUUCCUCUUUUUAUUUCAAAUAAACAAAUACUUAAAACAAGAAAAAAGAGAAAUGUACAGAAAUAAUAGUAAUACCAGCUAAUCCACAAUGAUGGCCUGUGUGGUUGGCCAUGUGCUUCCUGUGCAGUAUCUCAUUUGAUCCAGCUCACAACAGGUUCGGAAGCACACUGUGCAGCAAGCAUCCAGGCAGGACUUGAACUUGCGUGAGCUAAAACCUGGGCUCUUGACCAUAGUUGUUUUAUUCCCUCUGGGAUGACUGCUCAGUGACCAAAUGACGUAGCUCAAAGGCUCAGUGACUGCCAGGGUAUAAGAAAAAGCUUAUUCACUUAUAGGCUGAUUUUCUGCCUUGCUGGUGAGUUACUGAAUCUCUCUGGACUCCAGUUCAUCAUUCAAAUGGAAGCAGUUGGCCGAUCAGAGUUUUUCAAAAAUGCUUUAAUGUGGUGAAAUACUUUUUUAAUGCAAUCUAAUAUGUAAAACAGAUAGGAGUGGUUGAUAGCCUGGGGAGGAGCCCCAAACCUCACCUUCUCCUUUAGCAGCAUCUGGGGUGGGGCAAAUGUUCAGUGAACUGCUGGACCAGCUAGAGAGACUUCCAGCCCUCCAGUGUGCCCAGUCUUGCCAG
This is a non-coding RNA of Oryctolagus cuniculus (rabbit), 3234 nucleotides long. NCBI's taxonomy places the organism in Eukaryota, Metazoa, Chordata, Mammalia, Lagomorpha, Leporidae. The record is from RefSeq and is a predicted model, not a curated record.